GUACGUUUUUACAUGCGCUUUCCAGAGCCUUGGAGGAAACGAACGGGAGACAAACCGUGGUGCUACUGGGCUCCUGAGCCUUCAGAAUUCAUUUCUGCCGGGAAGAAAUGUUUUUCUCAUGACACAAAACUCAGAAGAGCUGCAGAACAGAAAACGUGUGAGUGUCUGUCAUCUGAGCACAGUCUGACAGAAAUGGCUCUCCCCUCCUCUUCUGGGGAGAAAGGGCCAGCUCACCUGCAAUUACAGAAGGAUCGCAGACCAGGAGCAGACUGUCAGGGGACUCUGGCCAUGUCUGCACACAUUUUUGGUUGUCAUGCUAGAAGAGGGAAGCCACCAGCAUCCAGGAGGCAGAGACCAGCGAUGCUGCUAAACGUCUGUGCGCAGGACGGCCCACAGCAAAGCAUCAGCUGUGCUGGGCUUGAGAAGUCUUGCUUAAAUGAGGAUGCUCCGAGUUCAUGCGUCACAGAGCAUCUUAUCUAUGAUUUUUGUUCAGGAGGAAAUUGAAGAAGGGACAGAACACAAAACAGCCUCAUUGCUCUGUUGAUUAACAAGGGGAGCUGGGCCUCCGAACCCCUGACCCCACUCUUCGGACUUGGUGCAAGAGAGAAAGGGAGCUGGACGUUCAGGAGAGGUCUAGGCAGACGUUGGCCAAGUGUGGAGUACUGGCUUUCGUAUAACUUAGAUAUCAGCUACCAAUAGAAAAAAACAGAUUCAAGGAUUAAUCAAAGCCUAAUAAAAUCCAUUUCAAACCACUGCAGUGCAGGGUCGAG
Molecule: long non-coding RNA, 770 nt
Filed under: Equus caballus (horse)
Lineage: Eukaryota; Metazoa; Chordata; Mammalia; Perissodactyla; Equidae
Description: lncRNA (ENSECAG00000048047.1)
Source: RNAcentral